CAACACGCGACCUUCGGCCACACCCUUCGCAAAAAAAAUAGAGUAACUUCGGCAGGUAAACAGUCAGGACAAGGCGUCCUACAACCAAGUUCGCAAAGGCGAAACGGCACACGUCCUGGUCCACCACGCCUACUACACCGAGAACAAGUACUGACAAUUUCGCGAAGACGAGCAAGAAAAUCAGCUGCGUCAGUCAAAUGCUCCAUAACCAACGAAGGAAACACUACUAGAAUUCUAGAUGCAAAGGCUGCAUAUUUAAAGCAAACGAAAGUAAAAGCGCAACCCGACCCUAUUGACCUUUACGCGCAGGAAGAAAACACUCUCUUUCUCACCACCAUACUACACCUUCGCACAGGAGUCACUAACACCUCUCUUAUCAGUUUCAUUUGAGGCUAAAUUUUUCGAUAAAAUAAAUUUAUUAAUAAAAAUCCAAAUGCUGGCGGAGGCGGUAAUUCACUUGCUUCAGGCGGCGUAGUAAAACCGGCAAAAAAUUUAUUCCCGUUUUCCAGGCAAGAGUUGGAGCGUGAGGGUCAUGAAUAAGGACUAACGUACCCACUUGUAGUGGUGGCGGAUCCUUUGUCCAUUUUUGGCGGGGCUGGAGACUGUGGACGUAUUCCAGCUGCCAUCGUCGCCAAAUCUGUUGAAAUAGCGCUGUGACCAAAUACCAACGGCGAACCCCCGGGAUAUCCUUUUCAGGGAUAGAUUCCUCAGGGACGGAUGUCAGAGGGCGACCUAUUAAGAAGUGUCCCGGAGUCAAGGGCUGGAAGUCGUUGGGAUCGCUUGAUAAUGGAGUGAGGGGUCUCGAGUUGAGCAUGGCCUCCACUCUCGUAGCCAGCGUUUCGAAUUCCUCCAGGUAGAGGAUGUGCGUGCCAAUCAUCUUAGUUAGAUGUUUCUUGGCGUUCUUGACCGCACUCUCCCAGAGGCCUCCUUGGUGUGGUGCUGCUGGCGGAUUGAAAUGAAAUUUAAUUUCAUUCGCCUUGGCAUAUUGUUGUAAGUCUGGGUCACUCUCGUCGGCCAGUCGUGAUAAAGCGUUGGAGGCACCCACAAAGUUAGUGUGUAACUCAAAGGCUGAUAGCCGUGGGACCUUUCGGAUUUUGGCUAUGGUUAAUGCUCCUGGUUAACGUGGGUCUAUCGUUUGGCGAUUACCAUACUACGUAUGAUGUCUUGUCGAUACGUUGAAGCAUUUUGCGAAACUGGUUCGAAGCGCUCCUGCAUAUAUUCUACAGGUAGGUUGCGCCUGUCGUUUCGGUUGUUUAUCCAGAUGGGCGGUAUGA
Molecule: long non-coding RNA, 1274 nt
Filed under: Bemisia tabaci
Lineage: Eukaryota; Metazoa; Arthropoda; Insecta; Hemiptera; Aleyrodidae
Description: lncRNA ENSSSA3NGG004818
Source: RNAcentral